GGACGAACGCUGGCGGCGUGCUUAACACAUGCAAGUCGAGCGGUAAGGCCCUUUCGGGGGUACACGAGCGGCGAACGGGUGAGUAACACGUGGGUGACCUGCCCUCAGCUCUGGGAUAAGCCUGGGAAACCGGGUCUAAUACUGGAUAUGACUCCAUGACGCAUGUUGUGGGGUGGAAAGCCUUGUGCGGCUGAGGAUGGGCCCGCGGCCUAUCAGCUUGUUGGGGGGUGAUGGCCUACCAAGGCGACGACGGGUAGCCGGCCUGAGAGGGCGACCGGCCACACUGGGACUGAGACACGGCCCAGACUCCUACGGGAGGCAGCAGUGGGGAAUCUUGCGCAAUGGGCGAAAGCCUGACGCAGCGACGCCGCGUGAGGGA
This 379-nucleotide ribosomal RNA is filed under the name uncultured bacterium. RNAcentral describes it as "bacterial SSU rRNA". It matches the Rfam family "Bacterial small subunit ribosomal RNA", at positions 27 to 408 of the family's 1533-position model. The record is from RNAcentral.